Molecule: long non-coding RNA, 1229 nt
Organism: Mus musculus (house mouse)
Lineage: Eukaryota; Metazoa; Chordata; Mammalia; Rodentia; Muridae
Product: predicted gene 12343
Exons: 4
Source: RefSeq, a predicted model, not a curated record
UUGAGAGGGACGCAAAUGCCCCCUGUAGUUUAUCAGUAACCCAGAGGAAUGUCAGAAGAGCUUCCCUGCAGAGCCAGUGAGCCCUAGAUACCAGGCCCACAAACAGCAACACAGCCAUGCCUUCUGCCUGCCAGCCGGAAGAGACAGUUCCUUCCAUCACUUAAAGGGAGCACCAAGGUAGACUAAAGAGGAAGAGAGAAGCAAACAUCGCCUUCGGGAGGUGCCUAAAGCCCUAUAUCUGGGUCCUCUCUUACCCUUCCAGGCUGGCCCCAGGAAGAUUCCAGCUGCCUGCCUCUGAGUCCAGCACCCCUCCACCCCCGCCCCCGGGAUCCACCUGUCAGCCUUCCCAUAGAGCCUCUGCAGGGGAUCAAAAAGCUCAGGCUGGCCUCGAACUUACCAUGAAGGCAAGGAUGACCCUGAACUUCGCUGACCUUUCUGCUUCUACCUCUGAUUGCUUGAACCAUGUGUGAGCAUCACCAGGUCUGUUUUAUGUCACACUGGCGACUGAACGCAGGACUCUGUGCACACUGGGCAAGCACGCAACCAACCGAGGUACAGCAUAACUUUCUGUACAGCUCCACAACUCACUACACAGAUGGAUGUGAAGACAAAAAUAUCGUGGGGGGCUAGGAAGACAGCAAAGGAGGUCAGUGUUACAGCGCAGACCUCCUCCUGGCAAGCUCUGAAUUCAUCCAGGGACAGAGAUGCCCCAGAAGCUGCCCUCAGCACAUAAGCACUGUUAUCCCAGGCUGAGCAGGUCAUCCAGCCAAGGACCAAUGUGCUCUCUUUGUGCUGGAGGAGGGAGUUUCCAAGGCACCUACCGAGGUUGGCAGAACUGUGUGGUUCUGGCUGCAACAAACGUGGGACCUGCCCCAGAGAGGCACGAGCCCUGCCCCGCAGUACCAUCCUUUUCCAUGGCCACAUGUAGGACCAUUCUGGGAAGAUGGCACUUCUGGGAGAAGCCAAGGAGCAUGGGAUUCCUGCCUCCUGGCCACACACAUGGCCUGCCGAUAUCCCUCAGACUAACCCCUAAGUCCCAUAGGAGUUUGUGCCAUAGGAUUUCGGAGCUGCUUUGAUUCCUCCACUACUGCACGGUGUAAAGUGCUGGCUUGCCUUUGUGUCCAUUGAGGGGCUGUGGAAUGUGCUAAGUUGGGUAGCAUUGUAGGUGGAGGUCAUGAGGACCCCAUCUUCCCCCACAAGUAAAUAAAGAGAUGUUCAGUAUAAACAAA